GUCCACGGCCAUACCACCCUGAAUGUGCGAGAUCUCUUCUGAUCUUGGAAGCUCAGCAGUGUUGGGCCUUGUUAGUACUUGCAUGGAAGACUACCUGGGAAUACUGGGUGCUGUAGGCU
Ribosomal RNA from Colobus angolensis palliatus, 119 nucleotides. The record is from Ensembl. Lineage: Eukaryota; Metazoa; Chordata; Mammalia; Primates; Cercopithecidae.